Long non-coding RNA from Saccostrea echinata, 319 nucleotides. RefSeq lists it as uncharacterized. The transcript is spliced from 3 exons. Lineage: Eukaryota; Metazoa; Mollusca; Bivalvia; Ostreida; Ostreidae. The record is from RefSeq and is a predicted model, not a curated record.
CUUGUUUGACCUUUUAGUUUACCCUGAGGGCCCCAGGGUCAGAGACAAGGUUAGCCAUGGAGAGGCUGAUCUCCUGCAGGACUUCCCAGAAUCCUUAGCUGAAGUUGUUCUGGUUGCCAUGGUGAUUUUGAUUUUGAAAUGCUCCAAAAUUACAGACAUAGGAAAGAAUGGGUUUCUACAAGAAUUGGCUGAUUUUGAGUUACAAUAUUGCUCUGUUUACCACCCAUUAUCAAUCAUCAAACAAAAGAUUGAACAAGUGGUGAAUAUAGCUGCUACCUUUCCUGCUUUCAUGAAGUAUGAUGAAGAUAUGACUCUAAGG